UGCAGGCGAGGGGGCAGCAAUGUCACCGUCGUACGGGUGCGUAACGCGUAUGCAACCUACCUUCAACUGGGGGAUAGCCCGGGGAAACCCGGAUUAAUACCGCAUAAUACAGGGGGCCCACAUGGGUCUAUUUGUUAAAGAUUUAUUGGUUGAAGAUGGGCAUGCGUUCGAUUAGCUAGUUGGUACGGGUAACGGCCUACCAAGGCAACGAUCGAUAGGGGAGCUGAGAGGUUGAUCCCCCACACGGGCACUGAGAUACGGGCCCGACUCCUACGGGAGGCAGCAGUAGGGAAUAUUGGGCAAUGGAUGCAAGUCUGACCCAGCCAUGCCGCGUGCCGGAUGAAGGCCCUCAGGGUUGUAAACGGCUUUUAUUCGGGAAGAAGAGCAGGGAUGCGUCCCUGUGUGACGGUACUGAAUGAAUAAGCACCGGCUAACUCCGUGCCAGCAGCCGCGGUAAUACGGAGGGUGCGAGCGUUGUCCGGAUUUAUUGGGUUUAAAGGGUGCGUAGGUGGCUUUUUAAGUCAGUGGUGAAAUACAGCCGCUCAACGGUUGAGGUGCCAUUGAUACUGAAGAGCUUGAAACAAGUGGAGGCUGCCGGAAUGGAUGGUGUAGCGGUGAAAUGCAUAGAUAUCAUCCAGAACACCGAUUGCGAAGGCAGGUGGCUACGUUUGAUUUGACACUGAGGCACGAAAGCAUGGGGAGCAAACAGGAUUAGAUACCCUGGUAGUCCAUGCCG
Molecule: ribosomal RNA, 736 nt
Filed under: Dyadobacter sp. M67C2A
Lineage: Bacteria; Pseudomonadati; Bacteroidota; Cytophagia; Cytophagales; Spirosomataceae
Description: bacterial SSU rRNA
Rfam family: Bacterial small subunit ribosomal RNA
Source: RNAcentral